RNAcentral lists this unclassified non-coding RNA (333 nucleotides) under soil metagenome. Its description in RNAcentral is "partial contains 5.8S ribosomal RNA, internal transcribed spacer 2, and large subunit ribosomal RNA". The stretch from base 1 to 120 matches the Rfam family "5.8S ribosomal RNA", at positions 35 to 154 of the family's 154-position model. The record is from RNAcentral.
GAUGAAGAACGUAGCGAAAUGCGAUAAGUAAUGUGAAUUGCAGAAUUCAGUGAAUCAUCGAAUCUUUGAACGCACAUUGCGCCCACCAGUAUUCUGGCGGGCAUGCCUGUUCGAGCGUCAUUUCAACCAUCAAGCCCUGCUUGCGUUGGGGUCCUGCGGCUGCCCGCAGGCCCUGAAAACCAGUGGCGGGCUCGCUAGUCACACCGAGCGCAGUAAUACAUCUCGCUUUGGGCGUGCGGCGGGUUCUUGCCGUUAAACACCCCCUUUUUACCAAGGUUGACCUCGGAUCAGGUAGGAAUACCCGCUGAACUUAAGCAUAUCAUAAGCGGAGGA